This 1070-nucleotide long non-coding RNA is filed under the name Manacus vitellinus (golden-collared manakin). RNAcentral's name for it is "lncRNA (ENSMVIG00005017970.1)". The record is from RNAcentral. Lineage: Eukaryota; Metazoa; Chordata; Aves; Passeriformes; Pipridae.
CUCGCUGGGGGGCGGGGGCGUUUCUCUCCGGUGUUUCUGCCCAUUUCCCGUGUCCUGUCUUCCUUGCUGGAAGCCCAGGGUGUUGCGGAGCAGGGGUGUCGGCAGCCCUCCCCGUGAGGAAAUCCGCUCCCUUCCCCCGCUGCUGGGCCUGGCCUGUCGGUGCAGCACCCUCGGCAGCAAUAGAACCGGAGGAGAGGGAGGUUUUGCCCGCCUGAGGCGCGGUGUGAGGCCUGUGCUGGAGCCAGGGCGUGAUAGCGCGCGCCUGCCGUUGCUGAGGGAAGACAUGUACGCACUAUGCCUUUGAGGGACACGAGUGGCCAUGAGGCCUUUGUGAAUGCAUGGAGGAAAUUUGCGAUGGGGAGAAGAACUCCCCAAAGACACCUUGAAAGUCUGGAUACAGCUGUUUUGUUGAACUAUGGCCACAGCAUCAAUGAGGUUUAUUUUUAAGAGUGAAAUGGAAAGUUGGAAGCACUGGGUCGAAACCUUUCCCAGGAACAGUGGUCACUUCCUGAAGACAUGGGAGGAGGAAUCAAAUUAAGUGCUUCUCUGAAAUUACUAAUCUUUCAGAGUUGCAUAGUCUUUUAACUACUGCAUAGAAAAUGGGUAUACACCAAUCAGUGACUUAUGAGCAUGAAUCUCUGUCGACAGUUAUCAGAACCACCCAAACCACAUAUAAAGCCUGAUUACUGCUGUGAGCAGAAGUCCACACUUUGACUUCUGUGGGUGAUAGGUAUGUACAUCAAAGAGCAUGAUCAAACCUAAGAAUGACAAACAGCAAUUAAUGCUGCAUCUUUAUUACAGUGGACCCGGUAUGAUCUUGAUUUUACAUCCGAACUAGGCUUCUGCUGUACAUGCAUUACUCUUCUGGAAAAAGAAGUCAACUCCUUCCUAUUUCUCGUCUUUCAAAGCCAGUGUUGCACAACCAAGCAUCCAGGCGUUGUAAUUCACGCUGUAGAACAUCCUACCCACUGAAAUGAAUGGGAACUCUAAUGAAACUGAGAUGUAAGGAUGGCAACAUCUACCUUAGAGUAAAAAUGGAAAUGCCAACUAUGCUGUUAAAAAAGGCCAUA